UUUUAUGAGAGUUUGAUCCUGGCUCAGGACGAACGCUGGCGGCGUGCCUAAUACAUGCAAGUCGAACGCUUCUUUUUCCACCGGAGCUUGCUCCACCGGAAAAAGAAGAGUGGCGAACGGGUGAGUAACACGUGGGUAACCUGCCCAUCAGAAGGGGAUAACACUUGGAAACAGGUGCUAAUAC
RNAcentral lists this ribosomal RNA (184 nucleotides) under Enterococcus faecium. RNAcentral describes it as "partial 16S ribosomal RNA". It matches the Rfam family "Bacterial small subunit ribosomal RNA", at positions 1 to 169 of the family's 1533-position model. Lineage: Bacteria; Bacillati; Bacillota; Bacilli; Lactobacillales; Enterococcaceae. The record is from RNAcentral.